CCUACGGGAGGCAGCAGUGGGGAAUUUUGGACAAUGGGCGCAAGCCUGAUCCAGCUAUUCCGCGUGUGGGAUGACGGCCCUCAGGUUGGAAACCACUUUAUUAGAGAACAAAAAGUCGCUCUCGCAUGACUCGCUCUGCUGACGUUACUCUCAGAAUAAGCACCGGCUAACUACAUGCCAGCAGCCGCGGUAAUACGUAGGGUGCGAGCGUUAAUCGCACUUACUGGGCGUAAAGGGUGUUCAGGAGGAUGAGUAAGACAGAUGGGAAAUCCCCGGGCUUAACCUGGGAACAGCAUAUGUGACUGGUGGGCUAGAGGGCGUCAGAGGGAGGGGGAAUUCCACGUGGAGCAGUGAAAUGCGUAGAUAUGUGGAAGAACACCGAUGGCGAAGGCAGCCUACUGGGAGGGAUCUGACGCUCAUACACGAAAGCGUGGGGAGCAAACAGGAUUAGAUACCCGAGUAGUC
This 465-nucleotide ribosomal RNA is filed under the name uncultured bacterium. RNAcentral describes it as "partial 16S ribosomal RNA". It matches the Rfam family "Bacterial small subunit ribosomal RNA", at positions 338 to 795 of the family's 1533-position model. The record is from RNAcentral.